UAGUGGCUGUGGACCUCUGAACGUGUAUCUCAUAUGAACGACGCGCGUGUCCGACAUUCUUACGUGAACUGCUUACCAGCACUUGAGACUAGAGACCGCCCUUAGCUACGUAUGCGCGCGUCCACGCGAAUGGCUGGAAAUGCUGCGGCUGAGAGCUAAAGUGUGCGAGACCAGCGACGCGUGAUUACUUUUACCAACCAUUAAAAUAUUCCGCGGAUUCGACAUUUCCAUUGCAGGACAGCUCAUCGUGAUCGGAUUAAGAUGGUGUCAAGAGUUUAAAGGAAUGUGACGGAGCACAAAACCGAUAACGGUAUUUCGGGCUGACCCUGACAUCCUGUUGUUUCUCUAUUGAGGGAAAGUAGAGGGUUCGGUUAAUGCGAGAGACGGAUCAGGGAUCUGUUGACGAGAGAUGAUGAAGGUGACGAGAUUAACCCCGAGUGAAACACUGGUGAUCUGCUGAUGUGCACACAUGCGUGCACCCCACCCACCCUCCCACACACACACACAACACACACAACUGACACUGAUUCACUGCAAUCUAUCUCUGGGUUAUAAAAAUAAACUAUUACUAGUGAUAAGUGUAAAAACAGAACAGAUGACACCAUUUCUUGCUGCUGCACAUGGCGUCCUUUGAGGGAGAUUGUGUAUAUUCUGUAAUGGUUACAUCAAAAUGGAGCCCUUUGAGGGAGAUUGUGUAUAUUCUGUAAUGGUUAUAUCAAAAUGGAGCCCUUUGAGGGAGAUUGUGUAUAUUCUGUAAUGGUUAUAUCAAAAUGGAGCCCUCUGAAAAACCUCUACCGAGGUGCUGACUUCCCUGACACGAUAAGAUGGUGGAUUUUGUUGUAAUGACUAUGUAAUAAAGAUGGUAAUACGGCCAUAAAUACUAGGCUUGAAUGUUGAGACUGUUUUGAUGAAAUUCUGUAAUAUUUGGAUGAAAUGUUACUGUAAUUGGAUGACUGACAGGAUCAGAAAAUCCCAUAAUAAUGUUCGACUACAGAACCGCUAUGGCUCAGAACUGUUAUACAAGCUCAGAACAACAUCAAUCUAUAUCUUCUGCCCAUGUCAGCACUUGCAUAGAUUUAUUUUUUGCUUUGCGUGGUUCGAUGCCAUCCAUAGUCAUUAGACAUCAUGAGUAAUUCUUACAAAAGGCAGAUAGGAAAAUGUCGAUAGAAAUUUACUGAUUAGCCUAGCUAUUUAAAUGAUUGUUGGUCCUCUAUGUCUUGUUUUGGUAGCAGUUGUUUUGGUCAUUUCAGCACAAUUAAUGUAAUGCAGAAAGCUCUACAGCCAGCUUUUGUGAAACAUGAAAACAAUGAAAACUAAAAGAAAAAUAUCUAAAGCUGUUGUUCACACACUUUGGGUGAUAGAAAUGGUAUGGUUAUAGAUAGAACCAUAAAGGAUUAUAAGCAGAACAUUUGAGAACAUUUGGUGACUCAUGCAUGGGAAUUAUGAGUGGAGCCUUUCAAAGUUGCUUUUCAGCCAGUAGAACAGUGGGAAAUUAGUAUGUGAAUUGACAGUUUGCCACCAGUGUGGUAGGUUGAGAUAAAAAAAAAAAUCUGGCAUAUUCCUUUAAGGUGCCUUUUGUCCUCUCUCUGAUCGUAAAGGUAGUGUCUAAGUGGUGUGUAGUGUAGUGUAGUGUAGUGUAGUGUAGUGUAGUGUGGCUCAGUCAGUGGGGUCAGUUUAGUGAAAGCAAUUGGCGUGGGGAGGCUGAGCUCCGGCUCGCUGGUCAGCAGACAGCUGUUCCUCUCCGACCCAGAAGAGAUUCAUUAACAGGCAUUGGGAAGCCGAUGCGAUGCUCUGGG
Molecule: long non-coding RNA, 1796 nt
Organism: Clupea harengus (Atlantic herring)
Lineage: Eukaryota; Metazoa; Chordata; Actinopteri; Clupeiformes; Clupeidae
Source: Ensembl